Molecule: microRNA precursor, 205 nt
Organism: Oryza sativa Japonica Group (Japanese rice)
Lineage: Eukaryota; Viridiplantae; Streptophyta; Magnoliopsida; Poales; Poaceae
Rfam family: MIR812 microRNA precursor family
Source: Rfam
AAAAAGACAAACCCUGGGUUUCCAUGUCUAACUUUGACUGUCCGUCUUAUAUGAAUUUUUUUUAUAAUUCGUAUUUUUAUUAUUGUUAGAUGAUAAAACAUGAUUAAUACUUUGUGUGUGACUUUUCUUUUUUAUUUUUUUCAUAAUUUUUUCAAAUAAGAUGGUCGGUCAAACGUUAGGCACGGAAACCAGGGUUUGUCUUUUU